This 523-nucleotide ribosomal RNA is filed under the name uncultured Alphaproteobacteria bacterium. Its description in RNAcentral is "bacterial SSU rRNA". It matches the Rfam family "Bacterial small subunit ribosomal RNA", at positions 355 to 896 of the family's 1533-position model. The record is from RNAcentral. Lineage: Bacteria; Pseudomonadati; Pseudomonadota; Alphaproteobacteria.
UGGGGAAUCUUGGACAAUGGGCGCAAGCCUGAUCCAGCCAUGCCGCGUGAGUGAUGAAGGCCUUAGGGUCGUAAAGCUCUUUCGCCAGGGAUGAUAAUGACAGUACCUGGUAAAGAAACCCCGGCUAACUCCGUGCCAGCAGCCGCGGUAAUACGGAGGGGGUUAGCGUUGUUCGGAAUUACUGGGCGUAAAGCGUACGUAGGCGGGUUGUUAAGUUAGAGGUGAAAUCCCAGGGCUCAACCCUGGAACUGCCUUUAAUACUGGCAACCUAGAGUUCGAGAGAGGUGAGUGGAAUUCCGAGUGUAGAGGUGAAAUUCGUAGAUAUUCGGAGGAACACCAGUGGCGAAGGCGGCUCACUGGCUCGAUACUGACGCUGAGGUACGAAAGUGUGGGGAGCAAACAGGAUUAGAUACCCUGGUAGUCCACACCGUAAACGAUGAAUGCCAGUCGUCGGGUAGCAUGCUAUUCGGUGACACACCUAACGGAUUAAGCAUUCCGCCUGGGGAGUACGGUCGCAAGAUUA